This is a long non-coding RNA of Felis catus (domestic cat), 2843 nucleotides long. RefSeq lists it as uncharacterized. The transcript is spliced from 4 exons. NCBI's taxonomy places the organism in Eukaryota, Metazoa, Chordata, Mammalia, Carnivora, Felidae. The record is from RefSeq and is a predicted model, not a curated record.
GGAGCUGCUUCCGAUUCUGUGUCUCCCUCUCUGCCCCUCCCCUGCUCUCUCUCUUCCUCUCUGUCUCAAAAAUAAACAUAAAAAAAGAAAAAAAAGACACGGAAGCCCUAAGAGCAAGACCACCUGAAAGCUUGGCUGCGCAGGUGGCCCCCUGGGCAAUGGCAACCCUAAUGCAGGGGAAGAUGAGCGGGGAGAGGGAUUGAAGAGAGAAGGGGCCGGGGCGCGAGAUGUCUUUUGAGAGCGUUAGAGUCUGAAGGCAGUGGAGGCACACAAGCCCCGUGAUCUCAGAAUUUCCCUAAGAAGCCCCAUUGGCCCUGGGAGAUCAGCGUGCACCUUCCCGGGGCCCAGCGAAGACUCUGGAAUCCGCAUUGUGGGGACACGCGGGGGGAACAACCAACCACAGAAACUACAAACGUCCCUCUGCGUCCCGUCUCCCAGCGGGGGCUCCGGCGCUCGAUGAAGGGGGAGAAUCCGCCUCUGUCGUAACAGGUGCUCAGGCCUCCCUGCCACUUUGACAUAAGAGAGAGACAAAGGGGUCCUCCUGCCAAACACAAUUGUUUUGAGCAAAAGAAAACCUGUGGUGGAUGACGUUUCUGAAAAACAUCCCUUGGCCUGCUAAACAGAGAUUCGCACUCUUGAAUCCUGGGAGGGCGCCCAUGAGGCUAAGACACCCUGUCGCCCUCACAGCCCCCAGGGCACGAUGCCUUGGGUUCAACAAAUAGUUGUCUAUUAAGUAAAAGAGGUGGGUCCCUCUAAAUGAUAGUGAAUGGAGACAUACGGUCCCAACGCUGUAAUAAAUGCCCAUCGCCGCCGAUUCCCUUUCGUGACGAUGAUGACACAGCCUGGCCGUCCUGGUUUAUCUGAGCAUGACCGGUGGUAGGAAAUGUUACCCAAACAUCAUGAGUUAGCAAACAAGAGUGUCCUGUUCCGGAAGGGAGUCAAGAUUGACCUAUUCUAGGUUUGGGAAAAUGCCAGAAAGGCCGGGGGUGCACCGAAACGUUCACUGGGUGCUAAAGGUGGGGGCUUUUCCUUUCCCACAUUUUCGUUAGUUGUGUUUUCUAAAUGUUCUACAAACCGUGCAGGAUUCUCAAAAGAAGGGUUAUAAAAAGGGGGGCGGGGAACUGUCGGACUAAGCUUUUUUUCUUUUGUCAGAUCAUAAUAAUAGGUUGUUACCUAUUGCCACAUGCUUUCUGCUCCCCAGGCACUGUCCCGGGGGCCUGGAACACACGGUAGCUCGCUUUGUCCUCACGAUCACCGAACGCGGAGGCACUAGCCGCAGACCCAUUUUGUAGAUGACAAAGCACACACAGGCGGGUAACUUACCCACAGUCACAGGGUCCUUUACAGAGCUCUGGAUGCAGGCGCCUACAUUCUUUUCCCAGAGCACAGAUGUGGGCUGGGGCCCGGUCCCCAAGUCUGCCUUCAGCGGAGUUGCUCUAAGGCUCUGGGCUUCAGAACCUCCUGAGGGACUUCGUUCCAGCUGGACUUCGGGGUUCUGCCCCCCAGUGGUGCGCCGGUAAACAUUUCAGCAGCGGCUCCUGGGCUGUGGGAGCCCCCGUUUUUAGCCUUUGCCAGUUUCCGUGGUGCAGUCUAUUCGUUGAGCGUCCCUGAAACUGUCACCAAACAACUUUGAGAAGAGAGCAAAGGAAAACGAUCCAGUCCUUGCCAACUGGAAUCAGAGAGAGAGAGAGAGAGAGAAGAGGACGUCGAAUACUGUAAAGAAAAAUAUCUCUAUAUGUCUAUAAACAAAAACAAACUAUUACUGCUCUGCAAGUGGGAACACGUGUGCCUGGGCCUUUAAACUUGAAGCCAGUAGCUUGCUUGGAUCUCUGGGGGGUCGGCGCCAGGAAAUUAUUCCCCCUGGCCUGCCGUGUUGUGCCCAGGACGGUUCUGGGGGUGAACGCAGUGAAGCAGGUGGCCGGGGCGGAUAUCCGGGGCACGGAUCGGGGAGGAGGUGUGGACCCUUUCCCCGGAUGCGCCGUCCACACGCACCGGUUCUGCUUUGUGAGCAGCUCCAGGGUCGGUUUCAGGCGAUGGCAUUUAGGGCAGGAAGCAGAGGAAGCCUGGUCCCCGUUAACCGAUCCCCCCUGGCGUGCCCCGGCGUGAGGGGACGUGUGGGGUUCCAGCGGCGGGUCUGAAAGCCCUUUUUCAUAGCUGGGCGUGUGGGGCUGCAGUGUCUCUGAAGGCCCCGUCACCUGACGUUCCCGAAGUCCCAGCUGAGAUUUGGUUCCAAGCCUUGAGAAAACUGAGGCUGAAAAACUAAUGUGAGGCCUCGACUCCGGGUAGUGAAGGGAGCCUCCCGUCCAUGCGGCAUCUGCUAGGGAAAAACAGAACAGAACAGAACAGAACAACCCAGAAUGAAGGCUAAUGCCAACAGCCAGGAUUUGAUGAGCGCUUCCUGCUGGCCGGGCGUUGGGAUGAGGAUUGUAUCUGUGGUACCUUCGUCCUCCUCACGAGAGCUCUAUGAUGUAGACGCUGUUAUUACUCCAUCUAACAGCCAUUAGAACAAAGACGAGAGCCUGAAAAAUGGUUGGAGGAAGUGAUCCUAAUUUCACUGAAGCGGAAAGAUAACCAUGGAACUAGUCUGCCAGCCCUCAACCCUGUCACUGAAGAGAAACUACCCCUGAACGCGCUAUCCACCAAGGCUGCUCCUGGGUUCCUUAAAGUGGAGUGAAAACUUAAAGCACGUGAACAUUUCCGGUGCAGAAGACGUGAAGAUUCUUACGGCUCUCCCCCAGUCUGUUAACGACUGUUUCACCCAUACCUGCUCCCAUCUUGAGAUCCCCACCUUUAUCGUUUUCCCCAGCGCGUCUGCAGAGAAAUAAACUUUAUUGCCACUCGUA